This 1803-nucleotide long non-coding RNA is filed under the name Mus musculus (house mouse). RNAcentral describes it as "predicted gene, 38590". Lineage: Eukaryota; Metazoa; Chordata; Mammalia; Rodentia; Muridae. The record is from RNAcentral.
UCUCUCUCUCUCUCUCUCCUCUGCUCUACCUCCUACAUGCAAAUCCUGAUGUAAAGGUCUCAUCUAACACUCCAAUGUCAUGUCUAUCUGCUUCCCUCAAUGACUAUGGGCUAACUCUGAAACUCCCACCAACCAAAAUAUCAUCAGCAAAAUAUCUUCCAACGUGUCUGCUUCGCAAAAUGUCUUAAGAGUUUCCAGAAAAACAUCACAACUGGGUCUUUAAGGAGACCAGAAAUUUCCACUUCAAGUUGGUACCACUUCUUAUCAGCAUCAGAACUUGGGAGAGCAGCGACACUUGUUGACUCAGCCUAAACCUUCCAGACUUUGGAGUCCAUUGUCAAUGCUUUAUCAGAUUUGGAGAGUGGAUGCUGCAGGAGCAUGCUAACUGCCAGAGUGAUUGGUGGGACGUGCUGUUGCUGGUACAAAGAAUGAUGCUAACCCGUGAACUUGCUGAGUGUCCUGACAAUGUGACAGGAAAGCUGUAUUGGACAUUGGUUGCCUUCACACGGGAUCACUUUCAACAAGCUCAGCUAUUCACCAUGACAGUUAUCUAGCAACUUGAAGAAAUGCAUUGAGUGCAUAUUCAUAUGUCCUUCAUGGCUUUGGUCUGAAUGGAAAAGAGUGUGCUAUAGAAGGCUGGUAGUCAGAGAUGGCCCCCCUUUCAGGUAGACCCAGUUCAUCCAUGGCUUUGGACGGCAACACUCUGAGUGAAGAGAUUUGAUGGAGACAAUCCAUUUAAAGAUUCUGAAACUCAAAACAGCUCUAAUCCCCCUCUCACCAAAGCUGGGACAUAAGAUAAAUCUUAAAAUCUUCAGCAAUAAUCUGUACGACAGCCUAAUCCCAGCAUGUACGGGUGUCACGUGAUGCAAUACUCCUUUCUGAGGAGGAAAAGCAGAUGGGAAAUAUGAAAUACUGAAAGUCUUCAUGUCAGUUUAGCUGCUUUGCAAGCCAAUCUAGUUAUUGUAACACAAUUCCUGGAGAAAUAAUUUAAGGAGGGAAGGAUUUGCUUAUGGCUUGAGGGAGUGUGGUCCAAUAUGUUUGGAAGACCUGGAAAGGAAGAGUAAUGUCAACUGGCAAUAUUGUCUCUGUGAGCAGAAAACAAGGAGAGAUGAACGCAAGUGCUCAGCUCAUUUUCUUUCUCCUUUUUAUUUAGCUGAGAACCUCAGCUCAUGGAAUGGCAUCUCAGUUCAUCAUGGUGGAGAGGGUUGGCAGUGAUACUGUCAUAGAGAUGAACGUUGGGGACUUGGCCUGCUUUCUAUUCCUUUCCUUUAUUCAAUCUGGGACCCUGUGAGAUUCUGAAACUCAGCUUCCUGCUGAAAGGGCCUCCUUCUCUACACUUUUUGAUGAGCCCAAACUGAAUGUCCAACAUGAUGAGCAAAACUGGUAAAGCAAAUCAGAGUUUCAAAAGGGAGACAUCACAACCAAUACAACAAGAGAUUAUUUCAUUAAUAAUAAUUAAAGAUUAUUACAAACAACUUCAUAUCAAAUGUCCAAUAUCCUACAAGGAAGAGAAAUAUUCCAAGAUUCAACCUGCCUAACGGUAAAUCAGAUGGAAACAGGAAACCUAACCAAAUCAAUGAUGCACAAUAGUCUUGAUCUGGAAAACAUUGAUGUCCACUGUCAGCACUUUAUCCAACACAAUACCCAUUGUCUUCACUGCAGAAAUGAAAUGAGAAAGAUCAGUCUUACUGAAAAGGAGGACAUUUCAAAAGUUUUGAUUCUUAAUGAUGUCUGGUAUAUGGAUGAUCUAAGGAUCCCACCAAAAAUUAUUUGACAAAACAAAUCAAUUCAACAUGCUUCCAG